GACGAACGCUGGCGGCGUGCUUAACACAUGCAAGUCGAGCGAUGAAGCACCUUCGGGUGUGAAUUAGCGGCGAACGGGUGAGGAACACGUGAAGAAUCUGCCUUCAACUCUGGGAUAACUCCGGGAAACCGGGGCUAAUACCGGAUAUGAGCCUUGAUCGCAUGAUCGGGGCUGGAAAGUUUUUCGGUUGAAGAUGACUUCGCGGCCUAUCAGCUUGUUGGUGAGGUAAUGGCUCACCAAGGCGACGACGGGUAGCCGGCCUGAGAGGGCGACCGGCCACACUGGGACUGAGACACGGCCCAGACUCCUACGGGAGGCAGCAGUGGGGAAUAUUGGGCAAUGGAGGAAACUCUGACCCAGCGACGCCGCGUGAGGGAUGAAGGCCUUCGGUUGUAACCGCUUUCAGCAGGGAAGAAGCGAAAGUGACGGUACCUGCAGAAGAAGCACCGGCUAACUAUGUG
RNAcentral lists this ribosomal RNA (461 nucleotides) under uncultured bacterium. RNAcentral describes it as "bacterial SSU rRNA". It matches the Rfam family "Bacterial small subunit ribosomal RNA", at positions 28 to 507 of the family's 1533-position model. The record is from RNAcentral.